This 396-nucleotide ribosomal RNA is filed under the name uncultured bacterium. RNAcentral's name for it is "partial 16S ribosomal RNA". It matches the Rfam family "Bacterial small subunit ribosomal RNA", at positions 523 to 918 of the family's 1533-position model. The record is from RNAcentral.
AUACGUAGGUGGCGAGCGUUGUCCGGAUUUACUGGGUGUAAAGGGCGAGUAGGCGGGUAAACAAGUCAGAUGUGAAAUACCGAGGCUCAACUUCGGGGCUGCAUUUGAAACUGUUUAUCUUGAGUGAUGGAGAGGCAGGGGGAAUUUCCCGUGUAGCGGGGAAAUGCAUAGAGAUUGGGAGGAACACCAGUGGCGAAGGCGGCCUGCUGGACAUCAACUGACGCUGAGGAGCGAAAGUGUGGGGAGCAAACAGGAUUAGAUACCCUGGUAGUCCACACCGUAAACGAUGGAUACUAGGUGUGCGGGGACUGACCCCCUGCGUGCCGGAGUUAACACAUUAAGUAUCCCACCUGGGGAGUACGAUCGCAAGAUUGAAACUCAAAGGAAUUGACGGGG